GACGAACGCUGGCGGCGUGCCUAAUACAUGCAAGUAGAACGCUGAAGGAGGAGCUUGCUUCUCUGGAUGAGUUGCGAACGGGUGAGUAACGCGUAGGUAACCUGCCUGGUAGCGGGGGAUAACUAUUGGAAACGAUAGCUAAUACCGCAUAAUAGUAGAUGUUGCAUGACAUUUGCCUAAAAGGUGCAAUUGCAUCCCUACCAGAUGGACCUGCGUUGUAUUAGCUAGUUGGUGGGGUAACGGCUCACCAAGGCGACGAUACAUAGCCGACCUGAGAGGGUGAUCGGCCACCCUGGGACUGGGACACGGCCCAGACUCCUACGGGAGGCAGCAGUAGGGAAUCUUCGGCAAUGGACGGAAGUCUGACCGAGCAACGCCGCGUGAGUGAAGAAGGGUGUCGGAUCGUAAAGCUCUGUUGUAAGAGAAGAACGAGGGUGAGAGUGGAAAGUUCACACUGUGACGGUAUCUUACCAGAAAGGGACGGCUAACUACGUG
RNAcentral lists this ribosomal RNA (495 nucleotides) under uncultured bacterium. RNAcentral describes it as "partial 16S ribosomal RNA". It matches the Rfam family "Bacterial small subunit ribosomal RNA", at positions 28 to 507 of the family's 1533-position model. The record is from RNAcentral.